CAAGUAAUGAUAUUGUGGAAUGGGGAAUUGGUCAGGUGAGAUAGAUGAUGUGCAUGAACUGGUGUCCAUCUUUGCCUGCUGGUGUACUCCUGUAAUUUUUGGAGCAUGUGGCUGAGCAGUCGUGGCAGGAACAGAGGACAGGGUGCUGAAGGACUGCUCAGGAGUAGAAGUCCUUUAAUGUUAUAAGCUAUGUACUGAAAUGACAGUGGUUAUCAAAUGUCAUGUCAUGUAUUUAUUUUAAUAAAUAAAUUUAAUCAAUUUCUGUGCUCUAAUGAAGGGGAUAAAAGGCAACACUGGUCCGCCUGGAGCUUGUGGUCGAACAGAGUAUUAUGAGUAUGUAGUUGGUGAUAAGGGAGAUGAAGGACCCCCUGGACCUCCAGGACCAAAAGGUCAACGUGGUAUGCCUGGGCCACAGGGUCCUCCUGGAGGUGCUGGUAGACCAGGUGUGUCAAGACCUGGUCUGAGAGGUCCCCCGGGAUUUCCUGGCCCAAAAGGAAAAAAAGGAGAAAAAGGACAAACAGGCUUGUGCAUUGUAGGCCCUCCAGGACUACCUGGGAUUACUGGCAGACCUGGUUCUGUUGGAUUACCAGGUCCUCCAGGAGAACCAGGUGACAUUUCAUUAUUGUAUAUAUAAUGCACAGCAACAACUCCAGCUUAUCUCAAUUGCUGAUGUAUGAGAUUAUAUAUAUAUAUGAUUUAUGGAGUAUAUCUUGAGUAAAGUGGUUAAAUAGAUUUAUUUUUUUUGUUGAAAUUUCACUUUAGAAUAUUCACAAAAAAUAUGUGUAGCAAUUCUCUGUGCUCCAUUUCUAAU
This 811-nucleotide long non-coding RNA is filed under the name Anas platyrhynchos platyrhynchos (common mallard). RNAcentral describes it as "lncRNA (ENSAPLG00000023385.1)". Lineage: Eukaryota; Metazoa; Chordata; Aves; Anseriformes; Anatidae. The record is from RNAcentral.